This 319-nucleotide transfer-messenger RNA is filed under the name Clostridiales bacterium. RNAcentral's name for it is "partial transfer-messenger RNA". It matches the Rfam family "transfer-messenger RNA", at positions 69 to 374 of the family's 374-position model. From Rfam's summary of the family: Bacterial tmRNA, also known as 10Sa RNA or SsrA, is named for its dual tRNA and mRNA-like properties. Its role is to liberate the mRNA from a stalled ribosome. To accomplish this part of the tmRNA is used as a reading frame that ends in a translation stop signal. The record is from RNAcentral. Lineage: Bacteria; Bacillati; Bacillota; Clostridia; Eubacteriales.
UCACCAACUUAGAAUUAAAUAUAAACGCAGACGAUAAUUUAGCGUACGCUGCCUAGUGGCAGCUGUCGAACUUAAGUAUCCCACGGCUUAAGACCUCGGCAUCAACUUAGUGGGGACCUUUAUCUUCAAAGCUUUGAGAAGAUAAAAGAAAGAUGAAGCUACCAAAAUCAGAAGCCUGUCUGUCGGCGUCUGAUGGAGGGAACAGCAUGUAAGUGCUAUGCAAAUAGCAUUUGAGGCAUGCAUAAAAGAUAGGCUGUAAUGGGAGAAACCACAAUGGAAGAGCUUUCGGACAGGGGUUCGACUCCCCUCAGCUCCAUUG